This 966-nucleotide ribosomal RNA is filed under the name Ceratoporella nicholsoni. Its description in RNAcentral is "SSU rRNA". It matches the Rfam family "Eukaryotic small subunit ribosomal RNA", at positions 38 to 1001 of the family's 1831-position model. Lineage: Eukaryota; Metazoa; Porifera; Demospongiae; Agelasida; Astroscleridae. The record is from RNAcentral.
UCAAGACUAAGCCAUGCAUGUCUAAGUAUAAACGCUUCUAUACUGUGAAACUGCGAAUGGCUCAUUAAAUCAGUUAUAGUUUAUUUGAUGGUUCCUUACUACUUGGAUAACCGUAGUAAUUCUAGAGCUAAUACAUGCAGAAAGUCCCGACUUCUUGGAAGGGAUGUAUUUAUUAGAUCCAAAACCAGCGCGAGUUUCCUUCGGGGGCUCGGUUGCAUGGUGAUUCAUGAUAACUGCUCGAAUCGCAUGGCCUUGCGCCGGCGAUGAUCCAUUCAAAUUUCUGCCCUAUCAACUUUCGAUGGCAAGGUAGUGGCUUGCCAUGGUGACAACGGGUGACGGAGAAUUAGGGUUCGAUUCCGGAGAGGGAGCCUGAGAAACGGCUACCACAUCCAAGGAAGGCAGCAGGCGCGCAAAUUACCCAAUCCCGACUCGGGGAGGUAGUGACAAUAAAUAACAAUGCUGGGCUAUCGUAGUCUGGCAAUUGGAAUGAGUACAAUCUAAACCCCUUAACGAGGAACAAUUGGAGGGCAAGUCUGGUGCCAGCAGCCGCGGUAAUUCCAGCUCCAAUAGCGUAUAUUAAAGUUGUUGCAGUUAAAAAGCUCGUAGUUGGAUUUCGGGGCAGCCCGGCUGGUCCGUCGCGAGGCGAGUACUGGUCGGCCGCCCUUCCUCUCGAAAGCCCCGACUGCUCUUCACUGCAGUGGUCGGGGAGUUCGGGACGUUUACUUUGAAAAAAUUAGAGUGUUCAAGGCAGGCCAUCGCCUGAAUACAUUAGCAUGGAAUAAUGGAAGAGGACCUCGGUCCUAUUUUGUUGGUUUCUAGGGCCGAAGUAAUGAUUAAGAGGGACAGUUGGGGGCAUUCGUAUUUAAUUGUCAGAGGUGAAAUUCUCGGAUUUAUGAAAGACGAACAACUGCGAAAGCAUUUGCCAAGGAUGUUUUCAUUAAUCAAGAACGAAAGUUAGGGGUUCGA